RNAcentral lists this ribosomal RNA (1097 nucleotides) under Campylobacter lanienae. Its description in RNAcentral is "bacterial SSU rRNA". It matches the Rfam family "Bacterial small subunit ribosomal RNA", at positions 94 to 1208 of the family's 1533-position model. Lineage: Bacteria; Pseudomonadati; Campylobacterota; Epsilonproteobacteria; Campylobacterales; Campylobacteraceae. The record is from RNAcentral.
UAUGGCGCACGGGUGAGUAAUGUAUAGUUAAUCUGCCCUAUGCUGGAGGACAACAGUUAGAAAUGACUGCUAAUACUCCAUACUCCUUCUUAACACAAGUUAAGUUGGGAAAGUUUUUUCGGCAUAGGAUGAGACUAUAUUGUAUCAGCUAGUUGGUGAGGUAAUGGCUCACCAAGGCUAUGACGCAUAACUGGUCUGAGAGGAUGAUCAGUCACACUGGAACUGAGACACGGUCCAGACUCCUACGGGAGGCAGCAGUAGGGAAUAUUGCUCAAUGGGGGAAACCCUGAAGCAGCAACGCCGCGUGGAGGAUGACACUUUUCGGAGCGUAAACUCCUUUUCUUAGGGAAGAAAUUUGACGGUACCUAAGGAAUAAGCACCGGCUAACUCCGUGCCAGCAGCCGCGGUAAUACGGAGGGUGCAAGCGUUACUCGGAAUCACUGGGCGUAAAGGACGCGUAGGCGGAUUAUCAAGUCUUUUGUGAAAUCUAAUGGCUCAACCAUUAAACUGCUUGAGAAACUGAUAAUCUAGAGUGAGGGAGAGGCAGAUGGAAUUGGUGGUGUAGGGGUAAAAUCCGUAGAGAUCACCAGGAAUACCCAUUGCGAAGGCGAUCUGCUAGAACUCAACUGACGCUAAUGCGUGAAAGCGUGGGGAGCAAACAGGAUUAGAUACCCUGGUAGUCCACGCCCUAAACGAUGUAUACUAGUUGUUGCUAUGCUAGUCAUGGCAGUAAUGCACCUAACGGAUUAAGUAUACCGCCUGGGGAGUACGGUCGCAAGAUUAAAACUCAAAGGAAUAGACGGGGACCCGCACAAGCGGUGGAGCAUGUGGUUUAAUUCGAAGAUACGCGAAGAACCUUACCUGGGCUUGAUAUCCUAAGAACCUCUUAGAGAUAAGAGGGUGCUAGCUUGCUAGAACUUAGAGACAGGUGCUGCACGGCUGUCGUCAGCUCGUGUCGUGAGAUGUUCGGUUAAGUCCGGCAACGAGCGCAACCCACGUAUUUAGUUGCUAACAGUUUGGCUGAGCACUCUAAAUAUACUGCCUUCGUAAGGAGGAGGAAGGUGUGGACGACGUCAAGUCAUCAUGGCCCUUAUGCC